Molecule: long non-coding RNA, 361 nt
Filed under: Triticum aestivum (bread wheat)
Lineage: Eukaryota; Viridiplantae; Streptophyta; Magnoliopsida; Poales; Poaceae
Description: long non-coding RNA (TAES_LNC028647)
Source: RNAcentral
UUGGACUGAGCAUGGCGCUAAAGUUGAGUAGAACAUUUAGGAAUUAGGAUAAAUAGGAAACAACAAAUAGGUGAAGAAACCGUGAAGUGAAAUGAGUUAUAGAAGACAAUAUGCAUUUUUCUCACUAAAACAAACUUCUGUUUGUGUGCAACUUCUGUACUUGCAUAUAUUUUGGAGGGAGAAACACAGAAAAUACUACCACAUGGAUCAACACAUUUGGAGGGAGAAACUAUAGAUGUACAUCACGGGGUAGCAAAUAAUAUGAACUCCAGGCAGAACAUUUUUUUAACAUCUUUUUGUAUCUCGCAAACUGAAAAUAAGAAGAAAGCAAAUUAGAACACAAAGUAAGAAGAAAGUAGAG